UCGAAACCUAUUCCAAUAAGGAACAACCAGCGAACCAGUUUUUAUCUCACACACGUGGUGCGGCGGCGACUCUAACCGGUCACCACGCCCACGGAAUCCGUGGGGCUACGUUCGGCUCAUCGAGUAUAUACUCGUAUUGCCGUCCGUGAUCCCAUGGAAAUCACCAAACCCCGGCGCGAAAAGCGUCAAGGACCAUUCAACGAAACAGGUCACUCCGGAUUGUUGCCCACGUGGUGUGCGUCCGGAUGUGUUCUCUGUGAUCAUAAGUCUAAAAUGACUCUCGGCAACGGAUAUCUCGGCUCUCGCAUCGAUGAAGAACGUAGCGAAAUGCGAUACUUGGUGUGAAUUGCAGAAUCCCGUGAACCAUCGAGUCUUUGAACGCAAGUUGCGCCCUAAGCCGUCAGGUCGAGGGCACGCUUGCCUGGGUGUCACGCAUCGUCAUCUCCCCACUCGUCUCGGCUUUCGCCCGGACGGUCAAGGAGAAGGAGAUUGGUCUCCCGUGUGGUACCGCACGCGGUUGGCCUAAAAUCGAGACACGGGGUUGUGGAGCUUCCCGACGAGCGGUGGUGUCAAGAUGCCUCGUGAAAACGUUGGUCGUUCCCAUCCCGAUGUGCUCAUCGACCCUACAAGUGUCGCCCUGGCGACCCUUCGAAAGCGACCCCAGUUCAAGCGGGA
This 675-nucleotide ribosomal RNA is filed under the name Cleome pilosa. RNAcentral describes it as "eukaryotic LSU rRNA". The stretch from base 276 to 431 matches the Rfam family "5.8S ribosomal RNA". The record is from RNAcentral. Lineage: Eukaryota; Viridiplantae; Streptophyta; Magnoliopsida; Brassicales; Cleomaceae.